RNAcentral lists this ribosomal RNA (429 nucleotides) under Bacteroidota bacterium. RNAcentral describes it as "Bacteroidetes bacterium partial 16S ribosomal RNA". It matches the Rfam family "Bacterial small subunit ribosomal RNA", at positions 355 to 776 of the family's 1533-position model. The record is from RNAcentral. Lineage: Bacteria; Pseudomonadati; Bacteroidota.
UAGGGAAUCUUCGGCAAUGGGGGGAACCCUGACCGAGCAACGCCGCGUGAGUGAAGAAGGUUUUCGGAUCGUAAAGCUCUGUUGUUAAGGAAGAACGAGUGUGAGAAUGGAAAGUUCAUACUGUGACGGUACUUAACCAGAAAGGGACGGCUAACUACGUGCCAGCAGCCGCGGUAAUACGUAGGUCCCGAGCGUUGUCCGGAUUUAUUGGGCGUAAAGCGAGCGCAGGCGGUUAGAUAAGUCUGAAGUUAAAGGCAGUGGCUCAACCAUUGUAGGCUUUGGAAACUGUUUAACUUGAGUGCAGAAGGGGAGAGUGGAAUUCCAUGUGUAGCGGUGAAAUGCGUAGAUAUAUGGAGGAACACCGGUGGCGAAGGCGGCUCUCUGGUCUGUAACUGACGCGGAGGCUCGAAAGCGUGGGGAGCGAACAGG